This 45-nucleotide non-coding RNA is filed under the name Schistosoma margrebowiei. The record is from RNAcentral. Lineage: Eukaryota; Metazoa; Platyhelminthes; Trematoda; Strigeidida; Schistosomatidae.
AUCCUGAUGACGAGUCCUAAACAGAACGAAACGCGCGUUCUUGAU